Molecule: ribosomal RNA, 302 nt
Filed under: uncultured fungus
Lineage: Eukaryota; Fungi
Description: SSU rRNA
Rfam family: Eukaryotic small subunit ribosomal RNA
Source: RNAcentral
AAGCCAUGCAUGUCUAAGUAUAAGCAAUCUAUACGGUGAAACUGCGAAUGGCUCAUUAAAUCAGUUAUCGUUUAUUUGAUAGUACCUUACUACUUGGAUAACCGUGGUAAUUCUAGAGCUAAUACAUGCUAAAAACCUCGACUUCGGAAGGGGUGUAUUUAUUAGAUAAAAACCAAUGCCCUUCGGGGCUCCUUGGUGAUUCAUAAUAGCUUAACGAAUCGCAUGGCCUUGUGCCGGCGAUGGUUCAUUCAAAUUUCUGCCCUAUCAACUUUCGAUGGUAGAGUAGUGGUCUACCAUGGUUU